This 253-nucleotide ribosomal RNA is filed under the name uncultured bacterium. RNAcentral describes it as "partial 16S ribosomal RNA". It matches the Rfam family "Bacterial small subunit ribosomal RNA", at positions 524 to 776 of the family's 1533-position model. The record is from RNAcentral.
UACGGAGGGGGCUAGCGUUGUUCGGAAUUACUGGGCGUAAAGCGUACGUAGGCGGCUUUGUAAGUUAGAGGUGAAAGCCCGGGGCUUAACCCCGGAAUUGCCUUUAAGACUGCAUCGCUUGAAUCAUGGAGAGGUGAGUGGAAUUCCGAGUGUAGAGGUGAAAUUCGUAGAUAUCAGGAGGAACACCGGUGGCGAAAGCGGCUUCCUGGCCCGACACUGACGCUCAUGUACGAAAGCGUGGGGAGCAAACAGG